AGUGAACGCUGGCGGCAGGCCUAACACAUGCAAGUCGAGCGGCAGCGCGGGGGCAACCCUGGCGGCGAGCGGCGGACGGGUGAGGAAUGCGUCGGAAUCUGCCUCUUUGUGGGGGAUAACGUAGGGAAACUUACGCUAAUACCGCAUACGACCUACGGGUGAAAGUGGGGGACCGCAAGGCCUCACGCAGAGAGAUGAGCCGACGCCGGAUUAGCUAGUUGGCGGGGUAAAGGCCCACCAAGGCGACGAUCCGUAGCUGGUCUGAGAGGAUGAUCAGCCACACUGGAACUGAGACACGGUCCAGACUCCUACGGGAGGCAGCAGUGGGGAAUAUUGGACAAUGGGCGCAAGCCUGAUCCAGCCAUGCCGCGUGUGUGAAGAAGGCCUUCGGGUUGUAAAGCACUUUUGUCCGGAAAGAAAUCCAGUCGAUUAAUACUCGGUUGGGAUGACGGUACCGGAAGAAUAAGCACCGGCUAACUUCGUGCCAGCAGCCGCCGCGG
RNAcentral lists this ribosomal RNA (500 nucleotides) under uncultured bacterium. RNAcentral describes it as "partial 16S ribosomal RNA". It matches the Rfam family "Bacterial small subunit ribosomal RNA", at positions 29 to 523 of the family's 1533-position model. The record is from RNAcentral.